RNAcentral lists this ribosomal RNA (253 nucleotides) under uncultured bacterium. RNAcentral's name for it is "partial 16S ribosomal RNA". It matches the Rfam family "Bacterial small subunit ribosomal RNA", at positions 524 to 776 of the family's 1533-position model. The record is from RNAcentral.
UACAGAGGGGGCAAGCGUUGUUCGGAAUUACUGGGCGUAAAGGGCGCGUAGGCGGCCUGUUAAGUCGAACGUGAAAUCCCCGGGCUCAACCCGGGAACUGCGUCCGAUACUGGCAGGCUUGAAUCCGGGAGAGGGAUGCGGAAUUCCAGGUGUAGCGGUGAAAUGCGUAGAUAUCUGGAGGAACACCGGUGGCGAAGGCGGCAUCCUGGACCGGCAUUGACACUGAAAAGCGAAAGCCAGGGGAGCAAACGGG